AUACUUACCCAAAAGGGGAAAUGCCUUUAUCACAAAGGUAGUUUUCCUAGGGUAAGGUGUGUUCAUUGAACUAUAGAUGUGUUGACUCCUGUGGUUUCCCCAAAUGUGGGAAACUUGAUGGCAUAAUUUGUGGUAGUAUGGGGCUGCAUUUGUACUUUUCUAUA
Molecule: small nuclear RNA, 164 nt
Organism: Microcebus murinus (gray mouse lemur)
Lineage: Eukaryota; Metazoa; Chordata; Mammalia; Primates; Cheirogaleidae
Gene: U1
Rfam family: U1 spliceosomal RNA
About the family: U1 is a small nuclear RNA (snRNA) component of the spliceosome (involved in pre-mRNA splicing). Its 5' end forms complementary base pairs with the 5' splice junction, thus defining the 5' donor site of an intron. There are significant differences in sequence and secondary structure between metazoan and yeast U1 snRNAs, the latter being much longer (568 nucleotides as compared to 164 nucleotides in human).
Source: Ensembl